This is a long non-coding RNA of Acinonyx jubatus (cheetah), 2224 nucleotides long. RefSeq lists it as uncharacterized. The transcript is spliced from 2 exons. Lineage: Eukaryota; Metazoa; Chordata; Mammalia; Carnivora; Felidae. The record is from RefSeq and is a predicted model, not a curated record.
GUUCUUCCUGGUCUCUAAUGCCUUCCAUAAUUUUUAUCUGUUUUAAAAUAGUGAUAGGCAAUAAAAUAAUGCUGCUUGAGAUUAGAUAUUGAGAAAGAUGAUUCCUCUCCAUGUAAAUAAAAUGCAUCUAAGAUGAAUCAUCUGGCUGGUAUUAAGAGGUAAAGGCUGUCUCGUACCUGCCCAGAGUAGCAGGUCACGUAUAGACCUGUGAUUGAUCUGUAUACCUGGGAUUAAUACCUGUGGCUAAUCUAAGCUGGUAGGAUACAAAUGUUUUUUGACUUCAGAACCUGAUCUGCAGUAAAAUCUUAGCAGAGGCAUAAAACAGGAGAGGGGAAGGAGGAGAGGGCUUUAAAUGAAGGAAGUGUUUGGAAGGAACUGGGGAGAACUCUGUAGCUGCUUCUACUUCUGCCCAGUGACAUUGCUCCGUCCCCUUCCAGAAUCCCAUGAGUUUCUCCUUUUGUGCACAAGCCCUUAAAGGCUCUAGUCUCUUUUCUGGGCUCAGCUGACAGGAAUUUUGGCCAAGAGAUUUUGGUUAACCCCUAAUCUAUCCAGCAUUAUCAGGAAUAAGAUACAUUUGGGUUUUAUUUUAAAUUACUAAUGUGUCCUCACUUAACGCGCAGGGAAUUUUAAACUUCUAGAUUUUGUGAAAAGUGUUCUAAUACGUAUUACAUACGUGUCUGUCCCCUUUGGUAACAACAUAGGUUGGCUUUCUGCUAAAGACUGACUCUUUGUUUUGAAAGCAAAGUACUAGACUCUGUGCAACACGUCCUUAGAGGAUGGGUGGUUUCCCUAUGCAGCCUACAGUCUUAGGAGGCCCUCGUCCCUCAGUCCCCUGUCUCUGGGUCACGUGCCUCUUUGAGCAUCCCUGCUUGCCCUUGGCCCUGCUCCAGGUCUGUCCCCACUGCCUCCCCUUCCCUGCAAACCUCAGGUCAUGGCCGAGGACUGACUCCUGGCCGAAGACCAACUCCAGUAGGCAGCAGGGGAGAAAUUUAGCUUUGACUUCCAUUUGCAAAGCAGGACAGCCUGAGGGAGUCUUCAUUCCCUAGAGGGAAUCAUCCUUUGCUGGUCUUCCCACUGAAGAUUCCAGAGAGUAAGGAGAGUGAACUGCCAAGGCAGCAGUAUUUGGAGUUUGACAAUUGAUGGCUUUUGAAGGUCUGUUUUAUUUUAAUGUGUAUGUGGAUUUCCAUUAAACUCUAUAAGCUAUCACCAUUUCAGCAUGAUGUUUUGCUGGGUAAAUGGAAGUGUCUGUAAGAUACCAUGUUUAUCCCGUGGCUUCUAUUCCUCAAUGUCUUGUCAGAGUCCCAGCAGGAGACAGACACCUACUCAGGUGGGUCAACUGAAUGAAGCAGUAAAAGGAACCCCGCACAGGGGUUGGGCUGGGGGUGGGGCACUGGGGCUCAGAAAGACUUUUACACCUGAGGCCUGCAAGACCCAGAGAGGACUUGCUCCAGCAGAGCCCAGGAGAGUGGGGUCACGUGUGAGGGCCCCUGGGCAGGAGCUACAGGAGAAAAGGGAAGAAAUACUUUGACUUCUUUCUCUUCCAUCCCCCACCUCCACCCUCGCCUCUUGCCAGGGCUGCCCCGUGGAUGAUCCCAGGUGGGAGCCAGGUGGCAGGGAGCCCACGGAGUACUGGUCACGGAGGUCAGCCAGCUAGGGCAUGCACACAGACCAGGGCGGCAUCUCUGGGUGGGGGUGGGGGGGGGGGGCAGCUGCAAGCAGCACCCCUGCUGUCUCCCCUUCCCUUCUCCCUGCCAGGGUUUGAGCUUCUUGCACAUAGGAAUCUUCCAUCUGCAGGGGCCUUUUAAGACUCACACUGAGGAGCCGGCCUUUGGGCCUGUUUUUCUGUUCCGGAUCUUGCAUUAGUUUGGAGACAGAUGAGCAGGCCCGCUCCUCAUCUCAGGAAGCACCUCUCACCAGAUGAUCCCCAGACUGAGAAGAGAACCCAAACUUCUGGGCCUGGAGUAUCUUCAUGUUGGAUUAUCCUCUUCAUAGAUACAGCUGCUCCCUGGGGCCUUCUCAUUUUUGAAUCUAGUUUUCUUCAAAGCUCCUAGCUCUUUAACAGAGCUACUUACCCAGCCAGGCCUUCUGUCCUCCUUCCCGGAAGCUCCAGUGCCCUGUCCAGGAUCUGCCAGUCUCCAGGACUCAUCUUCUGGACUCUUGUCCCCACCCUUCCCCCACCCCACCCCUUGUGUUUAAAAUGCCAAUUUCUAGAUCAGAUCUUGAA